CACGUAGGGGGCGAGCGUUGUCCGGAUUUAUUGGGCGUAAAGAGCUCGUAGGCGGUUCAGUAAGUCGGGUGUGAAAACUUGAGGCUCAACCUCAAGAGGCCACUCGAUACUGCUGUGACUUGAGUCCGGUAGAGGAGCGUGGAAUUCCUGGUGUAGCGGUGAAAUGCGCAGAUAUCAGGAGGAACACCGACAGCGAAGGCAGACACUCUGGGCCGGUACUGACGCUGAGGAGCGAAAGCGUGGGGAGCGA
Molecule: ribosomal RNA, 250 nt
Filed under: uncultured bacterium
Lineage: Bacteria
Description: partial 16S ribosomal RNA
Rfam family: Bacterial small subunit ribosomal RNA
Source: RNAcentral